GGGCCUAUAGUCUAGUAGUACGACGCGUCAUUCGCAUUGACGAGGCGGGGGUGCGAUUCCCCCUAGGUCCA
Molecule: transfer RNA, 71 nt
Filed under: Candidatus Taylorbacteria bacterium RIFCSPHIGHO2_01_FULL_45_63
Lineage: Bacteria; Candidatus Tayloriibacteriota
Also listed under: 4 other names
Description: tRNA-Ala
Rfam family: tRNA
About the family: Transfer RNA (tRNA) molecules are approximately 80 nucleotides in length. Their secondary structure includes four short double-helical elements and three loops (D, anti-codon, and T loops). Further hydrogen bonds mediate the characteristic L-shaped molecular structure. tRNAs have two regions of fundamental functional importance: the anti-codon, which is responsible for specific mRNA codon recognition, and the 3' end, to which the tRNAs corresponding amino acid is attached (by aminoacyl-tRNA synthetases). tRNAs cope with the degeneracy of the genetic code in two manners: having more than one tRNA (with a specific anti-codon) for a particular amino acid; and 'wobble' base-pairing, i.e. permitting non-standard base-pairing at the 3rd anti-codon position.
Source: RNAcentral